Molecule: small nuclear RNA, 112 nt
Filed under: Fundulus heteroclitus (mummichog)
Lineage: Eukaryota; Metazoa; Chordata; Actinopteri; Cyprinodontiformes; Fundulidae
Description: U5 spliceosomal RNA (ENSFHEG00000008527.1)
Source: RNAcentral
UAACUCUUGUUUCUCUUCACAUCAUGUAAAACAUUCAUCUUUUACCAAAGGUUUUCGUGGAGAGGAUCAAUAGAGUUGGUUCCAACUUUUCAUGCUCUAUGAAAACGUGGCU